This 407-nucleotide ribosomal RNA is filed under the name uncultured Oscillospiraceae bacterium. Its description in RNAcentral is "bacterial SSU rRNA". It matches the Rfam family "Bacterial small subunit ribosomal RNA", at positions 355 to 776 of the family's 1533-position model. Lineage: Bacteria; Bacillati; Bacillota; Clostridia; Eubacteriales; Oscillospiraceae. The record is from RNAcentral.
UGGGGAAUAUUGGGCAAUGGGCGAAAGCCUGACCCAGCAACGCCGCGUGAAGGAAGAAGGUCUUCGGAUUGUAAACUUCUUUUAUGAGGGACGAAGAACGUGACGGUACCUCAUGAAUAAGCCACGGCUAACUACGUGCCAGCAGCCGCGGUAAUACGUAGGUGGCAAGCGUUAUCCGGAUUUACUGGGUGUAAAGGGCGCGUAGGCGGGGAUGCAAGUCAGAUGUGAAAUCUAUGGGCUCAACUCAUAAACUGCAUUUGAAACUGUAUCUCUUGAGUGCUGGAGAGGUAGAUGGAAUUCCUUGUGUAGCGGUGAAAUGCGUAGAUAUAAGGAAGAACACCAGUGGCGAAGGCGAUCUACUGGACAGUAACUGACGCUGAGGCGCGAGAGCGUGGGGAGCAAACAGG